Molecule: small nuclear RNA, 272 nt
Filed under: Mus pahari (shrew mouse)
Lineage: Eukaryota; Metazoa; Chordata; Mammalia; Rodentia; Muridae
Description: sRNA (MGP_PahariEiJ_G0008280.1)
Rfam family: 7SK RNA
About the family: 7SK was discovered as an abundant small nuclear RNA in the mid-70s but a possible function has only recently been suggested. Two independent studies have found that 7SK RNA binds the CDK9/cyclin T complex (known as elongation factor P-TEFb). P-TEFb activates transcription by phosphorylating the C-terminal domain of RNA polymerase II.
Source: RNAcentral
UGAUCACCAAUGUUGACUUGGUUGUUAAAGAUAGCUAAGUGGGUAUCCCCUUCCUCUAUGUUAAUUCCAUGUGUAUCCCUCCUGAAUCUAUGCACUUUAUCAGUAGGUCAGAGAUUCCUUGAAUAGAGCAAGUUUUUUUUUUUUUUCAGUUGAGAGGAUAUAAAUUACUCAGCUCCCUUCCUAGAAUCUCUAAAUAAGCUCCCAAAUGAAAAUCCAAGAGGCUAGGAAACAGGAUACUGAAAUCCAUACAAGCAAUUUAUGAGAGGGUAAUU